AUACUUACCUGGCAGGGAAGAUACCAGGAUCACGAAGGUGGUUUUCCCAGGGUGAGGCUUAUCCAUUGCACUCCGGAUGUGCUGACCCCUGCGAUUCCCCCCAAGUGUGGGAAACUCAACUGCAUAAUUUGUGGUCGUGGGGGACUGCGUUUGUGCUAUCCCCGG
This 165-nucleotide small nuclear RNA is filed under the name Echinops telfairi (small Madagascar hedgehog). RNAcentral's name for it is "U1 spliceosomal RNA (ENSETEG00000023361.1)". It matches the Rfam family "U1 spliceosomal RNA". Rfam says of the family: U1 is a small nuclear RNA (snRNA) component of the spliceosome (involved in pre-mRNA splicing). Its 5' end forms complementary base pairs with the 5' splice junction, thus defining the 5' donor site of an intron. Lineage: Eukaryota; Metazoa; Chordata; Mammalia; Afrosoricida; Tenrecidae. The record is from RNAcentral.